RNAcentral lists this ribosomal RNA (497 nucleotides) under uncultured bacterium. RNAcentral's name for it is "partial 16S ribosomal RNA". It matches the Rfam family "Bacterial small subunit ribosomal RNA", at positions 28 to 507 of the family's 1533-position model. The record is from RNAcentral.
GAUGAACGCUGGCGGCGUGCCUAAUACAUGCAAGUCGAGCGAACGGACGAGAAGCUUGCUUUUCUGAUGUUAGCGGCGGACGGGUGAGUAACACGUGGAUAACCUACCUAUAAGACUGGGAUAACUUCGGGAAACCGGAGCUAAUACCGGAUAAUAUUUUGAACCGCAUGGUUCAAAAGUGAAAGACGGUCUUGCUGUCACUUAUAGAUGGAGCCGCGCUGCAUUAGCUAGUUGGUAAGGUAACGGCUUACCAAGGCAACGAUGCAUAGCCGACCUGAGAGGGUGAUCGGCCACACUGGAACUGAGACACGGUCCAGACUCCUACGGGAGGCAGCAGUAGGGAAUCUUCCGCAAUGGGCGCAAGCCUGACGGAGCAACGCCGCGUGAGUGAUGAAGGUCUUCGGAUCGUAAAACUCUGUUAUUAGGGAAGAACAUAUGUGUAAGUAACUGUGCACAUCUUGACGGUACCUAAUCAGAAAGCCACGGCUAACUACGUG